This 372-nucleotide ribosomal RNA is filed under the name uncultured bacterium. Its description in RNAcentral is "bacterial SSU rRNA". It matches the Rfam family "Bacterial small subunit ribosomal RNA", at positions 524 to 898 of the family's 1533-position model. The record is from RNAcentral.
UACGGAGGAUCCAAGCGUUAUCCGGAUUUAUUGGGUUUAAAGGGUGCGUAGGCGGCCUAAUAAGUCAGAGGUGAAAGACGGUAGCUUAACUAUCGCAGUGCCUUUGAAACUGUUGGGCUUGAAUGUACUUGAGGUGGGCGGAAUGUGACAAGUAGCGGUGAAAUGCAUAGAUAUGUCACAGAACCCCGAUUGCGAAGGCAGCUCACUAAAGUAUGAUUGACGCUGAUGCACGAAAGCGUGGGGAUCAAACAGGAUUAGAUACCCUGGUAGUUCACGCCCUAAACGAUGAAUACUCGAUGUUGGCGAUACACCGUCAGCGUCCACGCGAAAGCAUUAAGUAUUCCACCUGGGGAGUACGUCCGCAAGGAUGAA